RNAcentral lists this ribosomal RNA (485 nucleotides) under uncultured bacterium. RNAcentral describes it as "partial 16S ribosomal RNA". It matches the Rfam family "Bacterial small subunit ribosomal RNA", at positions 28 to 523 of the family's 1533-position model. The record is from RNAcentral.
GACGAACGCUGGCGGCGUGCUUAACACAUGCAAGUCGAACGGUGAAAGUGGAGCUUGCUCCGCUGGAUCAGUGGCGAACGGGUGAGUAACUCGUGGGCAACCUGCCCCUCACUUCGGGAUAACUCCGGGAAACCGGGGCUAAUACCGGAUAUGACCUCCUUGGGCAUCCUUGGAGGUGGAAAGUUUUUCGGUGAGGGAUGGGCCCGCGGCCUAUCAGCUUGUUGGUGAGGUAGUGGCUCACCAAGGCGACGACGGGUAGCCGGCCUGAGAGGGCGACCGGCCACACUGGGACUGAGACACGGCCCAGACUCCUACGGGAGGCAGCAGUGGGGAAUAUUGCGCAAUGGGCGAAAGCCUGACGCAGCAACGCCGCGUGCGGGAUGACGGCCUUCGGGUUGUAAACCGCUUUCAGCAGGGAAGAAGCCGCAAGGUGACGGUACCUGCAGAAGAAGCACCGGCUAACUACGUGCCAGCAGCCGCCGUAA